CUAGGAAGAAACCUAGAGAGGAACCAGGCUAUGUGGGGUGGCCAGUCCUCUUCUGGCUGUGCCGGGUGGAGAUUAUAACAGAACAUGGCCAAGAUGUUCAAAUGUUCAUAAAUGACCAGCAUGGUCGAAUAAUAAUAAGGCAGAACAGUUGAAACUGGAGCAGCAGCACAGUCAGGUGGAAGUUGAAACUGGAGCAGCAGCAUGGCCAGGUGGACUGGGGACAGCAAGGAGUCAUCAUGUCAGGUAGUCCUGGGGCAUGGUCCUAGGGCUCAGGUCAGUUGAAACUGGAACAGCAGCAUGGCCAGGUGGACUGGGGACAGCAAGGAGUCAUGUCAGGUAGUCCUGGAGCUCAGGUCCUAGGGCUCAGGUCCUCCGAGAGAGAGAAAGAAAGAGAGAAGGAGAGAAUUAGAGAACGCACACUUAGAUUCACACAGGACACCGAAU
Long non-coding RNA from Oncorhynchus tshawytscha (Chinook salmon), 444 nucleotides. The record is from Ensembl. Lineage: Eukaryota; Metazoa; Chordata; Actinopteri; Salmoniformes; Salmonidae.